GAAGGAGCUAGUGUUUUAUUUUAUACAAUCCUGGGUUCAGUUGGGGUUUAGGGUUCUCUCUGUUCAGUAGCAGACACCCUAGCAUCCGGGUUGAACACUUUGUAAUGCGUAAUGGAUUCGGACACUGAUGCACCAAAAUCCAAAACUCCCAAAAAGGAGAAGAACAAGAAGAAAAAAGA
This is a non-coding RNA of Vigna umbellata (rice bean), 179 nucleotides long. The record is from RefSeq and is a predicted model, not a curated record. Lineage: Eukaryota; Viridiplantae; Streptophyta; Magnoliopsida; Fabales; Fabaceae.